CUUCCAGUGGCGUGACAGCUGAAUGUGAGCCCAACCCUGCUGGAGUCCUGGAUACACAGCCGCUAGCUCGGUGGUAGCUUAGCUUGUUUGUUAGCUUUGCCGAAAACGCACACUACAUUUUGACAAUCUGAACGCAGUGCAUUUAAUUUAAAAUAGCAAUGUCUACAAUACAGUGUGAUUCAUAACUUCAGUAUGACUCUUACCAUAGUGCAUUUACAGCAGUAUCGUUCCUGUAAUCAGGUGGAGAGACAGUGUACCAGGGGAAACUGUUGAACUGCUCCGGACACCCUUGCGUCUCUGUUGUUCUUCUCCCGCCCCCCAGCCAAUCAGUAACCAAGGAACUUGACGUUGCCUCAUGACUGACGAAUAAGAGGCAUAGCGCGCCUGGUUGUCCUCUUGCCUGACGGAGCCUGGGUCAUGUCACUUUUCCCGGUGCCCUUCACUUCCGCCUUCGCUUGGUUGCAGGUAGGCUGCCGGCGGCGACUAUAGUCUGGUCUCACGCUGUCCCUCCAGUUGUGUUCAUGGUGGUUAUUUUAUAUCAGCGGCUCGCUUGGAUGUUGCAGCUGGUUGUGUGCUGCUUACUCUCUGCUGCUGGUUGCUGUGUAGCUGAUCACGUUGCCCCAGACCAUGCUGACCGUGAUUGCCUGACCGGUAUGUAGCACAGUGACUGUAGCUUCCUCCUCCAGCCACUCCUAAGUUGCUAAUAUCUGUUCUUUUAUUGUAGGGUAAAGACACAUGUGUAAAGGCAUAGCAACCGCUAAUCUGCAAGAAAUCGCUGUUGCUUUGCUUUGCUUCGCUUCGCUGCUUUGCUUUGCCUCACCGCUAGCUGCGUGCUUGCUGCUCAAUGCUAGCUGCUUUGCUUUAAGUGGCGAUUGCUUUGACUCAUUGCUCGGCCUCACACUGCGCUGACACAAACUUUUAAUUGCACCCGCGGUUGCAGUGCCUCAACGCUGUCUGCCUAGUUCCUGGCUGCUCACCACAGCUGGUUAAGAGUGUUAGCCUUCGUCCAGGCUUUGUUUAAGCGUUGCCGUGGCCUGAUCGUUGCUUGGCAGUGCCAUCCUGAACUGUGUACUGUCAACCCUGUCACUUGUUGUUUUGUGUGUGUGUGUGUGUAUAUGAGAGAGUACAGUGGGAGAGUUUAUCCCAUUUUCUUUGUGAUUAGUAGUUUAUGACAUUUUCUUUCUUUUGUAACAGUUGGUUUUACUGCAAUCUGUAUUCUGAUUUGUUAGCUUCGUGAUUAUUUUGGUCUUUGCAGGUUGCAGGUGUAUUUCGUUUGAUGUAAAUCUUAAUUCUAUUUGAUAUUGUGUUAAUUCUUAGGGAUGUGAUAAACUAAGUCCUGAUUUCUUGUGUUUGUCAUUAGUUGCAUUUAAUGUUUGUGUGCUCACCUGCUGUCCUCUGAUUUUCCCCAUUCAGGUGCUGAGCCUAGGAUGGUGGAUUGUUGUUGUGGUGGCGGUGUCCGUCUUGUCUUUGGCACUUUUUUUUUUUUUCUUUUAGGUUGCUUUUGGUUUCACUUUUAUUUACUUCACGUAUGGUGUUCCUGGGAUCCCCUUUGUUUUGGACCCAUCUCCCCCCUACUAAGUCUCAGCCCUGAUUGGUCCCCCUUUUUGUCCCAGCUAGCACCAGCUUCAAAAAGGUUUAUGAUAGCCGUGACAUUUUUUAAAGACAGACAGACAGACAGACACACACACACACACACACACACUCUUCAGUUAGGAUUGUCUAAAGCUUAAGUGAAUAAAUGCGAAACUUCUUACCAGAAACUCUUGAUGAGUUUUUGUACAUCUUGAGGCACUUCAGCAGACACUCUCUCCUUACGCUUACAUCAAGGCUUUAGGUAAGUGCAAACAUGAACAAAACAAUGCAAAAUCAUGCUGUCGAACUGUGCAACUUGACUGAAGAUGCAAACACAAAAAUGCAUCAGUGGGAACGUAGACAGUAAUUGUCCAGUAAUCAGACAAAUGGUUUGAGUAAACAGCAAGAUACACAUUGUACUUCUUUCAAAAUGUAAUCUAACUCCACAAUCAAAUGUGAAGACAAUGACACAUUAACACUACUGCUUCUAUUGACAACAUUACUAUUUAUGUGAUGUAAGGUGAAUUUUGCAGUAUUAAGUACAUACCUGAUAAAGAACUUUCAGCACAUCCCAGAUCUCCUCUCUGACAGCUCCUCCCUUGUUCCUGAUGAUCUCAAUCAGCUUGCUGUGGUGCUUGUCCAAGGAGGCCAGGAAUCGUGGUUGAAGUGGAACAGUAGUAAUCCUCACGAAUUCAGCAUUGAUCUUUAGAAAAUAAUAUAUCACAUAUGUAAGUUAUGACAUUGCAUUAAACUCUGUGGUGUAAGA
This is a long non-coding RNA of Acanthopagrus latus (yellowfin seabream), 2338 nucleotides long. RefSeq lists it as uncharacterized. Lineage: Eukaryota; Metazoa; Chordata; Actinopteri; Spariformes; Sparidae. The record is from RefSeq and is a predicted model, not a curated record. The transcript is spliced from 2 exons.